RNAcentral lists this ribosomal RNA (429 nucleotides) under Pseudomonadota bacterium. RNAcentral describes it as "Proteobacteria bacterium partial 16S ribosomal RNA". It matches the Rfam family "Bacterial small subunit ribosomal RNA", at positions 355 to 776 of the family's 1533-position model. Lineage: Bacteria; Pseudomonadati; Pseudomonadota. The record is from RNAcentral.
UGGGGAAUAUUGGACAAUGGGCGAAAGCCUGAUCCAGCCAUGCCGCGUGUGUGAAGAAGGUCUUCGGAUUGUAAAGCACUUUAAGUUGGGAGGAAGGGCAGUAAGCGAAUACCUUGCUGUUUUGACGUUACCGACAGAAUAAGCACCGGCUAACUCUGUGCCAGCAGCCGCGGUAAUACAGAGGGUGCAAGCGUUAAUCGGAAUUACUGGGCGUAAAGCGCGCGUAGGUGGUUCGUUAAGUUGAAUGUGAAAGCCCCGGGCUCAACCUGGGAGCUGCAUCCAAAACUGGCGAGCUAGAGUAGGGCAGAGGGUGGUGGAAUUUCCUGUGUAGCGGUGAAAUGCGCAGAUAUAGGAAGGAACACCAGUGGCGAAGGCGACCACCUGGGCUCAUACUGACACUGAGGUGCGAAAGCGUGGGGAGCAAACAGG